Molecule: unclassified non-coding RNA, 311 nt
Filed under: uncultured fungus
Lineage: Eukaryota; Fungi
Description: partial contains 5.8S ribosomal RNA, internal transcribed spacer 2, and large subunit ribosomal RNA
Rfam family: 5.8S ribosomal RNA (bases 1-52)
Source: RNAcentral
AACGCACCUUGCACCCUUUGGUAUUCCGAAGGGUAUGCCUGUUUGAGUGUCAUUAAAUUCUCAACCAUUGAAGUUUUCACGAACUUUCUCUGGCUUGGAUGUGGGGGUUGCGGGUCUCUCUGAGAUCGGCUCCUCUUAAAAGCAUUAGUGGGAACCGUUUGUAGGGGUUCAAUAUUAUUCACUUGACGUGAUAGUUUAUCGUCGUCAUCCAGUUGAAUAGGAACUCUGAGGAUCUUGCUUUCUAACCGUCCGCAAGGACAACUUCAUUUUAAUGUGACCUCAAAUCAGGUAGGACUACCCGCUGAACUUAA